GUAGAUGGCCGAGUGUUAGNCGCAGNCUGUAAUCCUGCUCACACGGGUUUAAGCCCGNUUCUUC
Molecule: transfer RNA, 64 nt
Filed under: Hoplodactylus sp. Cascades Darrans
Lineage: Eukaryota; Metazoa; Chordata; Lepidosauria; Squamata; Diplodactylidae
Description: tRNA-Tyr
Source: RNAcentral